AAAAAAAUCCAUCCAGUCGUUUUUUAGUUAUCUCCGUAUUUAGGAACUGUGUGCUCAGAGCCGUUCUGAAAACUCCACUGACAUGACGUCAUGUCAGUGCUGGCGGGUUGAUGGUACUGCCCAUGGAGCCGCCCACUGCCCUGCCCAAAAGAUUAUCUAAACACCGCCAUUAUUCCCGGCCGCCCGCUCGCAUUGCUCCGGUUAGAACCAUGGCGGAAGUACGAUCUGAAAAAGAGGCAGCGUUUGCUCUGUUGUUGGCUGCACAAACGAGCACAAAACUCUUUUGAAAACUCCCUGGUCGGAGGAUUUGAGGACUCAAUGGGUGGAUUUUAUUUAUAAUGGGAACGUACCCGCGGCACUUCCAAAAUAUCUGUACGUAUGUGCGCACCAUUUCACUUCGGACUGUUUUAUCAACGAGGGACAGUUCAACGCUGGAUUUGCUAGAUGUCUGAAGAUAAAGAAUGGAUCCGUACCAACUAUCCGUGAUCCUACUACAAACGUGGCAUCUGUAAGUGUGAACCUUUUAUUUUGACUUACUGUUUAGCCUAAAUUCCCCCCGGUGCCCCAACAC
This is a non-coding RNA of Xyrichtys novacula (pearly razorfish), 571 nucleotides long. NCBI's taxonomy places the organism in Eukaryota, Metazoa, Chordata, Actinopteri, Labriformes, Labridae. The record is from the annotation of a GenBank genome assembly.